RNAcentral lists this ribosomal RNA (890 nucleotides) under uncultured bacterium. RNAcentral describes it as "bacterial SSU rRNA". It matches the Rfam family "Bacterial small subunit ribosomal RNA", at positions 505 to 1397 of the family's 1533-position model. The record is from RNAcentral.
GUGCCAGCAGCCGCGGUAAUACGGAGGAUGCAAGCGUUAUCCGGAUUUAUUGGGUUUAAAGGGUGCGUAGGCUGUUCUUCAAGUCAGAGGUGAAAUACCCGAGCCUAACUCGGGAACUGCCUUUGAUACUGGAGGGCUUGAAUACUGUUGCCGUGGGAGGAAUGAGUAGUGUAGCGGUGAAAUGCAUAGAUAUUACUCAGAACACCGAUUGCGAAGGCAUCUCACGAAGCAGCGAUUGACGCUGAGGCACGAAAGCGUGGGGAUCAAACAGGAUUAGGUACCCUGGUAGUCCACGCAGUAAACGAUGAUAACUAACCGUCGGCGAUACACAGUCGGUGGCCAAGCGAAAGCGAUAAGUUAUCCACCUGGGGAGUACGACCGCAAGGUUGAAACUCAAAGGAAUUGACGGGGGCCCGCACAAGCGGAGGAACAUGUGGUUUAAUUCGAUGAUACGCGAGGAACCUUACCCGGGCUCGAACGGCAAGUGAAGAGAAGCAGAGAUGCUGACGUCCUUCGGGACACUUGUCGAGGUGCUGCAUGGUUGUCGUCAGCUCGUGUCGUGAGAUGUUGGCUUAAGUGCCAUAACGAGCGCAACCCUUGUCACUAGUUACCAUCAGGCAAAGCUGGGGACUCUAGUGAGACUGCCACCGCAAGGUGUGAGGAAGGCGGGGAUGACGUCAAAUCAGCACGGCCCUUACGUCCGGGGCGACACACGUGUUACAAUGGUGACUACAGAGGGAAGCCACCCAGCGAUGGGGAGCAGAUCUCGAAAAGUCAUCUCAGUUCGGACUGGAGUCUGCAACCCGACUCCACGAAGCUGGAUUCGCUAGUAAUCGCGCAUCAGCCAUGGCGCGGUGAAUACGUUCCCGGGCCUUGUACACACCGCCCGU